CGCGUAGGCGGCCGAGCGGGUCGCGGGUGAAAUCCUCCAGCUUAACUGGAGAACUGCCCUCGAUACCACUGCGGCUCGAGGAAGGAAGGGGCAAUCGGAACUGUCGGUGGAGCGGUGAAAUGCGUUGAUAUCGACAGGAACGCCGGUGGCGAAAGCGGAUUGCUGGUCCUUUUCUGACGCUGAGGCGCGAAAGCCAGGGGAGCAAACGGGAUUAGAUACCCCGGUAGUCCUGGCCUUAAACGAUGAGAACUAGGUAGUGGGUCCGACCUGGGCACACUGCCGAAGCGAAAGUUUUAAGUUCUCCGCCUGGGGAGUAUGGUCGCAAGGCUGAA
Molecule: ribosomal RNA, 332 nt
Filed under: uncultured Zavarzinella sp.
Lineage: Bacteria; Pseudomonadati; Planctomycetota; Planctomycetia; Gemmatales; Gemmataceae
Description: bacterial SSU rRNA
Rfam family: Bacterial small subunit ribosomal RNA
Source: RNAcentral